Girardinichthys multiradiatus is the source of this 860-nucleotide long non-coding RNA. RefSeq lists it as uncharacterized. Lineage: Eukaryota; Metazoa; Chordata; Actinopteri; Cyprinodontiformes; Goodeidae. The transcript has 3 exons. The record is from RefSeq and is a predicted model, not a curated record.
CCUGUGGUGAAAAAUUUGAAGGAGGUGCAGUUGGAUUCUGCAGCAGAGAAAGGACAGAGGAGGAAGAGCAGACACUGUAAUUGACAUGGACACGAAAACUGCCAGAAAGAGGAGACCCCAGGUCUGACAGAUCAGUCUCUAUGCCAGGAGUCUGCUCAACACCUGGAGAAUGAAGAGGCUGGGGCGGGCAGAUCAUCAACUAAUGUUCAGUCCGAUAACAACGACUCCUCUGAGGAGUGUAUACAGUCAGAAGCUGAUGAGGAAAGCAGAUGUUCCUGACUGAAGACUCAAUGUGGAGAAAUAAAGAUCAGUGGUAGGUUUUGGAAGGACAGAAUGCAGAGGCCUGAGGAUUUCUCUAAGACACACACACAUACACAGAAAAUGUCCUCACUUUACAACCAAUGGUCCUCACUUUUAUGGUGAACUACGAAAAAAAAUGGUCCUCACUCAGCUGCAAAAACAGGAGGACACACACACACGGGAUAAUUUUAAAAAGCUAAAGAUUCUGUUUAUAAUUUAAAUGCACUUAGCUAUUCUUUAAUUAUUUGUUUGCUUUAAAAUAAACAAUUUCCUUAAUUAUUAAUUUAAUUUAUUUCUCUUUUUUUUCCAAUACAUCUCUGCUUACCAGAAAUAUACAGAGUUGGGUGAUGUAAUUGGAAAGUUCUAGAAGGGAGCAUGGGAUGGGAGAGAAGGGUGUGGGAGGUGGGGUCGAGGUCAUGGGAGGUCAACCAUUCACUUGAGCUGUUAAAAAGUUUGAAUAAAGCUACCUACUUAUAUUUUUUGUCAUAGCUUUUUUCAGAGUUUCUGUUUAAACUCUGAUGCUGACCCUCUGCUGUAUGUUUUAUGAUUUAACACUGAAC